Molecule: long non-coding RNA, 1745 nt
Organism: Coffea arabica (coffee)
Lineage: Eukaryota; Viridiplantae; Streptophyta; Magnoliopsida; Gentianales; Rubiaceae
Source: RefSeq, a predicted model, not a curated record
GCUGAAGUUCAAACUGUACAAGCGACGGCCUAUCACUAUUUUGCCACCUAAUGGAAUAUAGAGUUGCACUAUUCUGGUAAUCUUCCAUGUAUAGAUGUUGGAAAACCGAAAUGGCUAACAUACUCUGCUCUCGUGGUGACGAACUGGAUGGAGCUCGACUUGAUUACUAGUUAUCAGUCGUACUAGUUCUAGUUAUUGCAGUAUAUGCUUUAGCUAUGCUCUUUGCUGUCCUUGCAAUGUUACACAAAAGCUCUGUCCACCUUCAAAAGAGCUUCAUUAGUGGAGAAGUCAAGGCAAUAGCCACAAGAGAAGAUGGGUAGUUUGAUUACCACAUAUUUCCUACUUAAACUAUGAAAGGGCUGAUGCUCUAUGCACUGCGUGGCAAAUGAAUAUCUGAUUGGUUGUUUCAGGGUGCGAAAAUCACAAUAAUGAUCCAAAGCCUGUGGUUCAUUCUCAGGGCAUUUCCAUCAGCAGAAUUUUGAGGUUGAUGGUUGAAUGCCCCCAGCUCCAAGGGCAUGCUGCUAUGUGGUUCUGAGAUAAUUAACUUUUUUUAGUGUUGUUUUUGAUAUUUUCACCACAUUUCUGCUCCUAUUGGCUGUAAAGUUGAAAUUGUGGCUAACAUUCCAUUUGAUUGCAGCUGAAAGUUGGAAAUGGAGAUGAUUUCUUUCCUCAGAACUGAAUAAUAAUAAUGUGAUUUCAAGUUUCAUAUUCUUUUUUAACGUAAAUGUUUAGUCCACUGCAUUACAUUUACAUUUACACUAUGAGCCAUGUUUAGUCCACUGCAUUACAUUACACUAUGAGCCAUGUUGGAGAUUAGUAUUUUGUGUUCAUCUGUACAGAGACUAGUUCAACCUGCAAACAUUGAAAAGUGGGCCAUAAUAAACAUUGCUGCAUGCUGUUAUAUUCAUGGCCUUGUUGGAGAUCUCAUGAAGGAUGUGGAACACCCAUUUGAUGUAUUUGAAAAGAAUCAGAAGUACAGAUGACUACUCUCUCUUGUAAGGUUGGAAAAGAAGCUUGAAGAGAUUCAGGCUAAACUUUUAGGGGCACCUAAAUAACUUUUGUCUCCUUCCAGAGAGCAAAAACUGUGAUCUUUAUGGUUCUCAGAGAAAGAGGAAUUUGGCUGCAUAUGAUAUUACAACUGAUGUUCCUGAUGUUUCCUGAUGUUACUCAAUGCAUGGUUCCUACCAGUGUCUUACAACUGUUCUGCUUAAGGCCAAUGUAAAGCCAUGCUGUCAGUGAGUCGCAGUUUAAUCAAGCUUGCAAGUUUCUUGAUGAGAAAUGGUCUCCAAAAGUCGUGGUCAUUGUGAGAAAUCAUCAUACAAAGUUCUUUCAGUCUAAUGCACCAGAAAAUGUUGCCCCGGGUAUUGACUUGACAGACAAUGCAAUUAGGCUACAUAAGAAAGUUAUUGUUGCAUUGAUUGACUCGUACCAGGGAGGUGAUGCAGGGCCAUUGAUUGACAAUAAAGUUUGUCAUCUCAAGAACUAUGACUUCUACUUGUAUGCUCAUGCUGGCAUGGUUGUGAGUACUUGAAAGUAGAUGAAUAGUUAAACAAGACAUUUUUCUUUUCCUCAUUUUCCUGUUCCUUUAGGUUCGUCUGCAUAGCAUCUCUGCUGAUGUUUAUCUGUUCUGGCAUGCAAAAUUGUGCUUACAUUUUCGUGAUCGGGGUGGUUAGUGAUCACUUGCUUUAAAUUCAGUUAAAUUGGCUUCACAUUCACCUGGGUGAAAAUUCAUCGGAUAUCUGUUU